Solenopsis invicta (red fire ant) is the source of this 2594-nucleotide RNA transcript. It is a transcript of the gene named radial spoke head protein 3 homolog, with no coding region annotated. NCBI's taxonomy places the organism in Eukaryota, Metazoa, Arthropoda, Insecta, Hymenoptera, Formicidae. The record is from RefSeq and is a predicted model, not a curated record. The transcript has 12 exons.
GGACAUUGUCCAGUCUCUGAACUCCCCCGCGAGCCAGUCAGUAAUGCCGCGGCUACACUCGGCGAACGAUCACAACGUUUUCCUCGAUUUUUCCACGGGCAGCAAAAUUGCCGAUUUGGCGCCAGUUUUGUACAGGGAGCGCUUGAAAAGUUGAACACAACGUGCAAUUUUAAUCCUCAUCGAUCGAUUCGUCAUGUCCGUCGCAAAAUCGGACGUCUGAAGAAAUCGGAAGGAUGCCAGCUGGUAUAUCGACUCUGGCGCCGUCGACGGAUGCGGGAUCUUUCGGUUAUGAAACCAAGGAUCCGUCGGCCUUUACAAUCUUACAGAAGGAUGGCCUGGACUCGAGUCUGCCGCUCUUACAUGUCAACGAGGACGAUGAGAUGAGUGCGCCGCAGCUCACCAAUUUGGAGAACAUGAAGAACACGAUGAAGAAUAAUCUCUGUAAUCGUAGACGUAUCAGCAAAUCCAACGAACAUUUGGUCUUGGCUAGUUUACAGUCAAAUCAAGUCAAUCCUCUGAAGAAAAGGCAUCAGAGCAAAAGCCAAGAUAACUUAGAGUUAGCUGAGGAGAGACCACUUACAGUUAAACCCAGCAUCGUCUUAUCAACGGAGGAUUUCAAUGAGGUGCUGAACGCAAAAUUGAAAAAGAUUCAAGAGCAAGCCGAGGCCGAGCAAGGCCGCAAAUCGCCCAAGAAAUCGAUUCCGCAGAAAAAGCCGUUCAUCACGACCGUGAAGACGGGAGAAUUUCUAAUGCCACCACCGGAAGUGGCGGCCUGGCUCGGCAUAGCGCCCCGCGGAACCGAGGAGGAGGCAACGGACGGAUGUCCUCUGAGGAGUAGAUUCAAAUCACUGGUAUCGCUAGCAAAGAGACCGGAGGUACGUCACAGUAACCACAAUGCCAGAUGCCCAGCCGCCCUAAAGGCCACCGUAGACUUUUCCCUUGGCAUGAUGAACGCCACCACCAUCGCAACUGCCUCGACCUUGAACGAGCAGGCGAGGAGGUUCAAGAGAAGCGAGCAAGUCAGAUUCCCCCAGACGCCGCGUGCUUUACCGAAAAAGUUGGAACCGAUCGAGGGCAUGACGAAUAUGCUGCCGAGACUCCGCGGCGAUCAAUCGGUUCCUUUCGGGAAUAUUAUGUUUGACCGUCGAGUGGCUCGAGGAAGCACAUUCGCUUCCGUUCCUACUCUCAUCGAUGGGGAACAAUCGAUAGCAGCAAGGCAAGCGGAAGCGAGACGAAGACAUUUGGCAAGAAAACGUGCCCAAGUGCAAGCCUGCAGAGCGCUUGUCGCUAGAACGGGUUCGCCUCCUCCAGUUCCUGGAAGAAAACACGAACCAGUGCAAACCGAAACUUUUCUCGAAGAGUUGAUAGAAAAACCAGACGAAUCCGAAGUAGCCACACAAACUGAUUAUUUCAUGGAAAGACCAGUAUUGCCGGAUUAUUAUCCAGGCAAAGUUGGAAAGGACGCUUGUACCCAAAUCGAACCCGGGGAACUCUUCGACUAUGACACUGAAGUUCAACCGAUCUUGGAGGUGUUAGUAGGCAAGACUAUCGAACAAGCCCUAAUCGAAGUUCUGGAAGAGGAAGAAAUUGCUGCUCUUAAGGAGCAGCAGAGAAGAUUCCUCGAAUUACGCAUGGCUGAACAAGCUGAAGAGCAACGAUUGGCGGAAGAAGAGAGGAGACGUAGAGAGGAGAAGGAUCAACGUCUAAAACAACACGAAGAGGCAAUGAAGGCUCAGCAAGAGACUGAGGAACGAGUUGCGGCUGCGGUAUUGUUAACAGGAUAUAUCGCCGAACUUUUACCUUCAGUUCUGGAGGGUCUAAAAAUGUCUGGCUUCUUACUGGACGAAAUCAAGGCUGAUGUCGAAGAAGGUUUCAUGCCUUGGUUAAUGAAAGAAGUUAAAAAAGAAAUGGGUAAUAUGAUCGAAAGCAGAGAAUUAUUAAUGGAAAUUAUUAGAGAAAUCUUGGAGAACCGUGCGCAAACAUACAGGCAGCUUGGUGAAGAAUACGAUAUUUCAAGAAAUAAGAAACUAGAAAACGUAUAUAACUUGGAAGGAGGUGAAACUGAUAGCAACUUCGUCAACUAUGAAUCACCCACAGAAAAUCAUCACGCAAUUUAGCGUGAUAAAUAAUUUGAUAACGGGAUUUACCUUAACCAGCACAAAAGCAAUAUCCGAACCCGGUACCUUCUACAUUAAGCAGUGUACACAGCUGUGCAACAAAUCCAUCUCCUUCGCUUGCACCCUCUGACAGGUCACCGCAGUGCUCGCGAUCCCUAUCGCAAACAGUAACCGCCGAAAGAACGAGAAAGGCCCAUCAGAAAUUAAUUAUCGAUUCUCGAAAUCAACGAUUGACAUGGAAACGUUGCACAAUGCUUUCAAGAAUAAGAAGCUGAUUAUAUCCUGAGAUGUAAUUUGUAAUUUAUUCAUGUAAUUCCGAAGAGAUCCCAAAAAUUUAAGUACAUAUUAAUAAACAAAAAUAUAAAAAGAGUUUAAUGUGCAUAAUAUAUAUUUUUCAUCAUUAGAAAUUGCUCUCUCGUACUUGUCAAAUUAAAACAUUUUUGUUUUUUAAUAAUAAUAUACAAUUUUAAUAUCGUA